AUCUAAAACCGAAGCUGAGAAAAUAACAAACAUACAAGCCUUUUGAAAACAAACUGUGCCCAGACAUCUUUUAAGGCUGAGUGGUUGACCAGCGCAGACCACCCAGCCACCCAGAUCUGGGGCUGCUCCCGUUCCCAGUCCAAGGGUUCCAAGAACUUAGAUUAAAACCCUUCCGACCUCGCUUUGCAAUAUGGAACCGGACGACCCCAUGGGUUAGGGGACCGGAGAGCAUGGAGGACCGUCCCCCAACCCUCUGCAGUGUGGUGCCUUCCGAUGAGCUGUUUUGUUUCACGCAGAGCUGAGCUCACCUGGGAGAUGAUCUUGUGACAAGAAUACCAGGCUGAGUCCAGAUCAGCAAAGAGAGGACAGGAAGAGGAAGAGGAAGAGAAGCAGAGGCAGCCAUGCGAAGCGGUGACUGGCAGAAAGAGAGGCAGAACGGCUGAACUAGGGUGAUGAACAUUGAGCAGAAGGGUCACUGUCCCUAACUCAAGAUCUAGGCAGGAAAUAAGCUGGUGACCCCAAUGAAGAGGAGAUAUAAGAAGGAGCCGAGCAUCUGGUACUUUCUCUGAUCUGCUCUCUGAGCCUCAGCCUGGGCCUUGUCCUUUGGAUGAAACACCUACAGCAGCUACCUUCGGAGUCAAGACACAUUCAGCAUACGGGGUUCCUAGCCAGGGAAGUCAACGGACACUAACUGAACACUAGCCUUUUGCAAAUCACAAUAUAAAACAUGGGGCUGGACACCAUGGGGGAAUCCCAGGAACCCUUGGUCUUUGCCCCCAAGAAAUUAACGGCUGAGUUAUGGAAAUAAAGUCAUUUAAAUGUUCAAUGAAAAUUCAAGCUAUGUGUUAUUAUCCAAAAGUGAGGGUGGAAUCAUUAAUGAUCUAAAAGGAGGAAGAGAA
Mustela lutreola (European mink) is the source of this 899-nucleotide long non-coding RNA. RefSeq lists it as uncharacterized. The transcript has 3 exons. The record is from RefSeq and is a predicted model, not a curated record. NCBI's taxonomy places the organism in Eukaryota, Metazoa, Chordata, Mammalia, Carnivora, Mustelidae.